GAUGAAGAACGUAGCGAAAUGCGAUACGUAAUGUGAAUUGCAGAAUUCAGUGAAUCAUCGAAUCUUUGAACGCACAUUGCACUCCUUGGUAUUCCGAGGAGUAUGCCUGUUUCAGUAUCAUGAGCACUCUCACAUCUAACCUUUGGGUUAAAAUGUGGAAUUGGGAUGCGCCGGUUAUUAUAACGGCCUUCCUAAAAUUCAGUUCUUGGCUGCUUCCUACUACAGCAGUUUGGCCUAAUAGUUUUGAGUCUUCGAUUCAAAUCUUUGGCUAACAUUUGCUUCAGGAUGUCAGUCUUGAUAUACAGAAAUCUCAUUCAAACUUUGAUCUGAAAUCAGGUAGGGCUACCCGCUGAACUUAAGCAUAUCAAUAAGCGGAGGA
Molecule: unclassified non-coding RNA, 379 nt
Filed under: soil metagenome
Description: partial contains 5.8S ribosomal RNA, internal transcribed spacer 2, and large subunit ribosomal RNA
Rfam family: 5.8S ribosomal RNA (bases 1-120)
Source: RNAcentral